Non-coding RNA from Aspergillus tanneri, 100 nucleotides. The record is from the annotation of a RefSeq genome assembly. NCBI's taxonomy places the organism in Eukaryota, Fungi, Ascomycota, Eurotiomycetes, Eurotiales, Aspergillaceae.
GGGUUGAUAGCUCAGUUGGGAGAGCGCACGACUGAAGUUCACUUCAAUCAGCCAGAGUCUGGCAAUCGUGAGGUCACCGGUUCAAUCCCGGUUCAGCCCA